This 1286-nucleotide long non-coding RNA is filed under the name Monodelphis domestica (gray short-tailed opossum). RNAcentral's name for it is "lncRNA (ENSMODG00000042829.1)". Lineage: Eukaryota; Metazoa; Chordata; Mammalia; Didelphimorphia; Didelphidae. The record is from RNAcentral.
GUGGCGUGGCGUAGCGUGGCUCGACGUGACGUGACGGGCGACCGGCAAAGCGGCGAAGUAGGGAGGAGACGCCGCGGGCAGCAAGGAGCACGGGCAGUGGAAGCUGGCUCUAAGAGCUCCUCCUCUGCUGCGGCCGUCGCUACGGGCCGAAAAGGAGAACGGAAAGAAGGGAGGGAGCUACCCAGAUUCUCAGGGCUGUGUGCUAACACGGAAAGGAGGGGGCGGGAGGAGUUGGCUGCUUCCAAUAGAGCCCACUCUGGGGCUGGACAAGCACCCCGCCUUCUGAUCCUCCUCCCUCUGCUUUCCUCCUCCCACCUCUUACCCCUAGCCCGAGGCCUGACCCUGAAACCUUCCCAAGCUUGGACUCUAUCGUGGGGCUCCAGACUCCACCCCGAGUCCAAAGUUUUCCAGCAGCCGAUGAUGGCAGAUUUUUUUAAAAGGGCAUCUCAAACCGGAAGGGGUUAUAAUGUGCAAGAAGUAGCCACUAAGUUGUUUUGUGGUGAUGUGUGUUCAAAGGUUACAUCAGACUUUCUUCAGAAAGUGGGGGAAGUGAUCCAGGAAGCAGGAGUCAGAUAUUCGAAGCUCAUUGUCCAUUGGCACAUCUGACUCUUCAUGAUCUUAUUUGGAGUUUUCUUGGCAAGAAUCCUAGAGUGCCUUCUCCAGAUCAUUUUAUAGAUGAGGAAAUGAAACAAACUGGGUUAAGUGCCUUGCUCACACAGCUAGUAAAUGUCUGAGUCCAGAUUUGACUUCAGGAAGAUGAAUCUUCCUGACUUGGGCCUAGCACUCUAUCCACUGUGCCACUUGCUAUUUAGUUACAACUAUGCAACUACUUAGGGACUGAUGGGUCUGCUUCCAAGAUGAACAAUGAAAUUCAAGGUGAACAAGUUAUUACUGUUUGUAUAUGAAGACAGGUAGAGACAAAAGCUUAGUCUUUUGCACUCUCUUGGGUUUGGACUUCUAAAACAAGAUGUGGCAAUGGAAAGCACAGGAACUCUGCCUCAAUCUUUUUGUUGAAGUAAAGAAAAUGAAUCCUUUGUUGUGAAUGUGAGAGAUGGAAGAGGAGUUCCAUGUGAGAAAAGAAAAGAGAGGUCUAGAUUAGAUGGCUGCUAAGGUCCCUUCCAACUCUGAAAUUUUGUGCUUCUGAAGAGCUACUAUGGAGAAUGAUAUAAGGAACCCAUGAGGAAAGAAUUGAGUUUGUUGGUUGAGUAUCAUCAAGGUCCAAGAUGAGACCUGAAGAAAACAUUUAUUUAAAAUAAAAAAUAAACUCUUAAUCCUUUGUUAGUUCA